GUGGGCAAAAUGAGCUACUAAAUGCUUCAUUAGUUUGGGUUGAAGAGACUGGCCACCUGCAAGGAUGUGAUCUGGCUUCUCACUCCUCUGGCUGCCCAUGAGUCCUGAGCCCAAACCAACAGGCCAUUGCUGGGACUAGGUGUGGGCAGACAGAAGAAGAGGAAGCUUCAUGGAAAAGAACCAUGGGACGAGUGAAGAGACAAAGAGGAGCAUUGAUUGGGCACAUGGAUAAUGGGCCUAAAUGGAGGGUGGAGGAUAUAUUUUGUCGUGGACAAGACUGUCUGGAGAAUACAGGCACGGAUCUCAGCUAUAUCAUGUUCCCAACCCUCUCUCUUUGGAAGCCCAAAGAAAGAAAUGUGCUUGCAGCAUGACAGACAGAAAAACUGGUUCAGGCAAGUCAAAAGUUGUGAAAGAAAUGGAAACAGAGAAGUGGAGCCAGAAAGUCUCAUAAAGGACUUUUUUUGCUGAUUUUUGGGGAUGACUGUAUCAGUUUUGAGCACCUCAGAAAAAGCAAUUUGUUUUUCACUCCCAGCAUAUCGUGUUUGUUCAAAUAGAGCCAUUAAGAGAGUGGGCAUAAUAGUUUGUGACCCAUACCACUUUCUCUUGCCUUCUUCACCCUAGUUAAACUUUAAAAGCUUCCCACAUUAUUCUCAAAUGCUUCUUGCAGGUAAGAUGAUAAAUGCAGCAAAUUGCUUCCUGUUAACAGGUGAAUUACAGGUUCAAGAACUAACAAACAUUUUCUGUACAGGGC
This 751-nucleotide long non-coding RNA is filed under the name Coturnix japonica (Japanese quail). RNAcentral's name for it is "lncRNA (ENSCJPG00005004377.1)". The record is from RNAcentral. Lineage: Eukaryota; Metazoa; Chordata; Aves; Galliformes; Phasianidae.